AGGGGGAGGCCGGAUCCUGGGCUGUGUCCUGCGCUGUUGGAUUCGUGCUCCUGGUGGUGCAGCCCCUU
RNAcentral lists this microRNA precursor (68 nucleotides) under Canis lupus familiaris (dog). RNAcentral describes it as "mir-8799 microRNA precursor family". It matches the Rfam family "mir-8799 microRNA precursor family". Lineage: Eukaryota; Metazoa; Chordata; Mammalia; Carnivora; Canidae. The record is from Rfam by way of RNAcentral.